RNAcentral lists this ribosomal RNA (465 nucleotides) under Vreelandella stevensii. RNAcentral describes it as "partial 16S ribosomal RNA". It matches the Rfam family "Bacterial small subunit ribosomal RNA", at positions 338 to 795 of the family's 1533-position model. Lineage: Bacteria; Pseudomonadati; Pseudomonadota; Gammaproteobacteria; Oceanospirillales; Halomonadaceae. The record is from RNAcentral.
CCUACGGGGGGCUGCAGUGGGGAAUAUUGGACAAUGGGGGCAACCCUGAUCCAGCCAUGCCGCGUGUGUGAAGAAGGCCCUCGGGUUGUAAAGCACUUUCAGUGAGGAAGAACGCCUGGUGGUUAAUACCCAUCAGGAAAGACAUCACUCACAGAAGAAGCACCGGCUAACUCCGUGCCAGCAGCCGCGGUAAUACGGAGGGUGCGAGCGUUAAUCGGAAUUACUGGGCGUAAAGCGCGCGUAGGUGGCUUGAUAAGCCGGUUGUGAAAGCCCCGGGCUCAACCUGGGAACGGCAUCCGGAACUGUCAAGCUAGAGUGCAGGAGAGGAAGGUAGAAUCCCCGGUGUAGCGGUGAAAUGCGUAGAGAUCGGGAGGAAUACCAGUGGCGAAGGCGGCCUUCUGGACUGACACUGACACUGAGGUGCGAAAGCGUGGGUAGCAAACAGGAUUAGAUACCCCUGUAGUC